Molecule: non-coding RNA, 3324 nt
Organism: Camellia sinensis
Lineage: Eukaryota; Viridiplantae; Streptophyta; Magnoliopsida; Ericales; Theaceae
Source: RefSeq, a predicted model, not a curated record
CAUAAAUAAGUAAAUAAGUGUGAUUGUAUAAAAUAUUUGAAUUUGAUUUUCAUAUAAAAUACUAUUCCCAAAUUCAUGCCUAUACAGUUCAAAAAAAAAAAAAAAUCACGCCUAUUCUACCCACGAUUGAUGAGACAACACGACUCUUUCCAUUCCCAACAAUUGAUUUUCACAAACAACGUAGGUCUCUUCUCCUUGCCUUCAGUUUCUGAAACAAAGCCCUAAUUUGUUUUCUUCAUCACAGCUCUGAACCACCAUUGAAGUUACUCACUCAAAUUUGUCUUUUGAAAUCAAAAGCCUUAUGAAAUUUCUGGUGAGUUCUUUGUUUUUUUAUGCCCCUCUUGUGAUAUAUUUGCUCAUAUUUUGAUAUGGCAUUUACAGGUUUGGAAAUUUUUGCUUUAGUCAUGUAAUUAAAUAAAUGACUUUUCUUUCUUAUUAUAUUGAUGAAAGCAAAUGCAUUUUAAAGAUAAUGUGCUUCUAAUGUCAAACAUGUUUUAGCUUAAUAGUGACUAUCUGUCUGCCAUAAACUGGGUGAGACAGUACCGGAAUCAGGGAAAGAUGAAGGAUCUGCGAAGGUAUGUCUAUCCAAAAAAUAUUUAUUCAUUAUUCUUCUUUUCUUCUUUUCUUUUGGGUACAUCGGAGGCCAUAACAUGGGGGAAGAGGAAAUGUUGCCUAGAAUUAAACCCUUGACCUCCUACUUUGGUGCUGGUGUUUUGGCCAACUGGGCAAGUUGUAGUUAGUAGUUGAUUAUCUAUACAUCUCGUUGAUUAAUUUAUUUUUAGAUUCAAUUUUGGGUAUUGGCCCACAUUUUUUGUUUAUUUUGGGCAUAACUUACCGUGGACUUAUGAAUGGGUGUACUUGAAGAUGUAAAUAGAGGUGUUAUUCUGUAAAAUUAAUCCUUUACUAGUGCCAACAUAAUCUAUGUUUUAUUUGAAUUGUAACUUAGGCACCGUGGUAGAUGUAUUGCGUGUGUCACAUGCUUUAAGAUGGCUGAGAUUUUUAAAACCAGAUGAUUCUAAACAAAUAUGAGGCCUUUUGUAUGUUAAAUUUUCCAUUCUGUAUAAUUUUUUGAAAAAACAUAAAUAAGUAAUUGGAGUUGUGGUGGUUCUUCGUGAGCCUUAACAAAUUGGACAUUAAUUGUUUGGAGAAAUAAUUUGUGACUUUCACGACCUUGAUGAAUGGAUUGGAUCUCAUUUUCACCAAAAUUUUCAUCCAAUUUAAACUUGAUGAAGGAUUGGAGAUGUUCUAAUGUGAAUUCAAUUAGUGUAAAUUUUGAAGCUACUAGUACUGUCAAAUUAUUCACUUUCGUUCUUUACCUAGUCGUAUGAAGCUGAUUGUUUGGGCUGAUUGGUAAAGACUUGUUUUUCUGGUUCUAUAGUCCAUCGAUUUUAACCCCUGAAUGAUAUUUGUGUGGUAUGUGUCAUUUUGGAUAACAGAAUAGAUGCACUUUGUUGUUUUGUAGCAGAAAGGACAACAAAAGAAAGCCAAAAAGAAUGCUUCUAGUGGAAGCAGAGAGUUAUUGCCUCAAAAUGCAACAUCAUUUUUGCUUUUAGCCUUGCUCUCAAGUCUUUCAAAACUCCACCAUAGAUAUCAUCAGCAAUAAUACGGUCAUCACAUUUCUUUCUUGAAAACAUAGUAUAAUGCAACUCAUGUGUACCAAUAUACCUGCAUAUUUUAGGGGAUCGAUCUUGGCUAUAUAUAUCUAUUGUUGGAGUUUUGUUCUACUGGUGUGCAUAACUUGCAUGAUCUUAUGACAGUAAAUUGUGAUUUUCUUUAAUCAUUGGAAACAUUUUCACUGCCUGAGUUUUUCUGACUCUUUGCUUAAUCACUUGGAUGUAUCCUUAUUAUUUUCAGAAUAGUUGAUUUCUAGAGCUAUUGCCUAUUGUUAGGCAAGAAACAAUUGAUGGAUUCACUUCCAAGGCUACUGAUGUGUUUCGAAGAGAAUUUGAUUUCUUUGAUAAAGUGAUAUCUAUAUCCAGUGUGCUCUUUCCAAAGGAGGAAUGACGAGCUGGUAUAUGGAGAGAGUUGGAGAAAAUUGUCUUAGCAACUGGAUGUACUUGACUGAAAAUGGAAUCAGAUCUUUCACCCAAAGACCUUAAAAUAUACUUUUUUUUUAUUGAGACGGAGACAAACAUUACCAUAAUUUAGAUAAAUUCUAUUUAGUAGGUGAUUUCCUUUUCUUAAUAUAUGGAGCCUAAGUAACCAAGGCAUGGACCAAAUAGGUCCUCCCCCCCCUCCUCUCUUCCCAGUUAAAUGUUUUAAAGUAGUUGAGCAUUCAAUUGUACAUUGAUAUUUUAUGUAUCUUAACACAUAACAUAGGCACCAGAAACCCCACCAAUUUAGUGCUUUUGCUGCUGCUGCUGUAGAGCUGUUUUUGCAGCAGCUGCAAGUUGCCCACUGAAAACCCCACCAAUUUAGUAGCUCAGACCAUAUCUUCCACACUUUAGAGCACUGUAACAGAACAUGGUUGCAAGAUUCAACUUCACUUUUACAAAAAGGGCAGACAUUACUAGAGCACCAUUUUUUUUUUUUUUUGCAAAUAGUCAGCUAUUUUCACCCUCCAUUACCAAGCGAACCAGCCAAAAAACUGGGUUUUGGGUGGGGAAACAUUAAACCAUAAUAGCUUAGGCACAAGCAAAUUGGAUCCAUGUUGGUCUUCAGCCAACCUUCUGAUAGCAGCCACAGAACUUUGAGUUGAGAAGAUGGAAGCAAGAUCAAAGAGUUGAAGAAAAAAUAUGUCACAAGAAGUGUGAUCAAUAUAAGAAGAAAUGCUCCUAAUUUUAAGGUUAUCGAGCAAGUUGAAGUUGAGUAUGUACCAAAAAAGGCUGAAUUUGAUGGUCAUUUGGAUGAGGAGUUUAGGAAGGUCUUUGAGAAAUUCAAUUUUAAGGAAAUUAUGGGGUCUAAGGAAAACGAUAAAAAGGAUAAGACUACUGCAGAUUCUGCCUCAAAGAAGGUUGACUCAGAUUCUAAAGAGGAAGAGUAGGAUAGCCAUCAAAAAGAGAAAGGUGUCUCUAAUAAAAAGAAAAAGGUGGAUGAACUCGUACACAAAGCUAAAUUGUACAGGACAAAUUGGCACUUUUUGUAUUUUUGGAAGGAUUAUAUAUUUUUGUAUAGAUGUAUAUGGAAAAUAUUAGGGUAGACUAGUAGUUAUAUUUUUGGAUACACUAGUAGUUAUAUUUUUGGCUGAGUGUGUAUGAAAAAUAUUUGGUAGAUUACUAGUUAUAUUUUUGGGUUGAUGCACAUGGAUAAAAAUUUAAAACACAAUAAUAAGUACAUGUUAUGUUUUAAAUUUUUAUGCUAGAUGAAAUAUGUAGUUUGGAAUUA